CCUACGGGAGGCAGCAGUAGGGAAUAUUGCUCAAUGGGGGAAACCCUGAAGCAGCAACGCCGCGUGAAGGAUGACGGCUUUAGGAUUGUAAACUCCUUUUGUGAGGGAAGAUAAUGACGGUAUCUCACGCAUAACCACCGGCUAACUCCGUGCCAGCAUCCGCGGUAAUCCGGCGGGUGCACGCGUUACUCCGAAUCAUUGGGGGUAAAGCGUGCGCAGGCGGGCUUGUAAGUCACAUGGGAAAUCCUGUAGCUUAACGACAGAACUGCAUUUGAAACUAGGUGUCUAGAGUGUGGGAGAGGUAGGUGGAAUUCUUGGUGUAGCGGUGAAAUCCGUAGAUAUCAGGAGGAACACCGGCUGCGAAGGCGGCCUGCUGGACUGAGACUGACGUUGAGGCUCGAAAGCGUGGGGAGCAAACAGGAUUAGAUACCCCAGUAGUC
RNAcentral lists this ribosomal RNA (440 nucleotides) under uncultured bacterium. RNAcentral describes it as "partial 16S ribosomal RNA". It matches the Rfam family "Bacterial small subunit ribosomal RNA", at positions 338 to 795 of the family's 1533-position model. The record is from RNAcentral.